RNAcentral lists this ribosomal RNA (553 nucleotides) under uncultured bacterium. RNAcentral's name for it is "partial 16S ribosomal RNA". It matches the Rfam family "Bacterial small subunit ribosomal RNA", at positions 355 to 900 of the family's 1533-position model. The record is from RNAcentral.
UAGGGAAUCUUCCACAAUGGACGCAAGUCUGAUGGAGCAACGCCGCGUGAGUGAAGAAGGUUUUCGGACCGUAAAGCUCUGUUGUUGGUGAAGAAGGAUAGAGGUAGUAACUGGCCUUUAUUUGACGGUAAUCAACCAGAAAGUCACGGCUAACUACGUGCCAGCAGCCGCGGUAAUCGUAGGUGGCAAGCGUUGUCCGGAUUUAUUGGGCGUAAAGCGAGCGCAGGCGGAAGAAUAAGUCUGAUGUGAAAGCCCUCGGCUUAACCGAGGAAUUGCAUCGGAAACUGUUUUCUUGAGUGCAGAAGAGGAGAGUAGAACUCCAUGUGUAGCGGUGGAAUGCGUGGAUAUAUGGAAGAAUACCAGUGGCGAAGGCGGCUCUCUGGUCUGCAACUGACGCUGAGGCUCGAAAGCAUGGGUAGCGAACAGGAUUAGAUACCCUGGUAGUCCAUGCCGUAAACGAUGAGUGCUAAGUGUUGGGAGGCUUCCGCCUCUCAGUGCUGCAGCUAACGCAUUAAGCACUCCGCCUGGGGGAGUACGACCGCAAGGUUGAAAC